This 253-nucleotide ribosomal RNA is filed under the name uncultured bacterium. RNAcentral's name for it is "partial 16S ribosomal RNA". It matches the Rfam family "Bacterial small subunit ribosomal RNA", at positions 524 to 776 of the family's 1533-position model. The record is from RNAcentral.
GACGAACCGAGCGAACGUUGUUCGGAAUCACUGGGCUUAAAGGGCGCGUAGGCGGGCUGCCGCGUCCGGGGUGAAAGCCCCCCGCUCAACGGGGGAACGGCCUCGGAUACGGGCGAUCUCGAGGGGGGUAGGGGCACCUGGAACUGUGGGUGGAGCGGUGAAAUGCGUUGAUAUCCACAGGAACUCCGGUGGCGAAGGCGAGGUGCUGGACCCCAUCUGACGCUGAGGCGCGAAAGCCAGGGGAGCGAACGGA